This 486-nucleotide ribosomal RNA is filed under the name uncultured bacterium. RNAcentral's name for it is "bacterial SSU rRNA". It matches the Rfam family "Bacterial small subunit ribosomal RNA", at positions 17 to 518 of the family's 1533-position model. The record is from RNAcentral.
UUAUGGCUCAGGACGAACGCUGGCGGCGUGCCUAAUACAUGCAAGUCGAACGGGGUAACGGGCUUCGGCCUGUACUUAGUGGCGAACGGGUGAGUAACGCGUGAGCAACCUGACUCAAAGAGGGGGACAACAGCUGGAAACGGCUGCUAAUACCGCAUAAGACCACAGAGCGGCAUCGCUAAGGGGUCAAAGAUUUAUCGCUUUGAGAGGGGCUCGCGUCCCAUUAGAUAGUUGGUGAGGUAACGGCCCACCAAGUCCGCGAUGGGUAGCCGAGCUGAGAGGCUGAUCGGCCACACUGGAACUGAGACACGGUCCAGACUCCUACGGGAGGCAGCAGUAGGGAAUAUUGGGCAAUGGGCGCAAGCCUGACCCAGCAACGCCGCGUGAGGGAAGAAGGUUUUCGGAUUGUAAACCUCUGUCCUAUGUGACGAAGGAAGUGACGGUAGCAUAGGAGGAAGCCCCGGCUAACUACGUGCCAGCAGCCGC